AUUUGAAAAAACAUGAGCAGCAGGUGAACUUCUGGAAUAUAUCAUGAAUUCUUCCUAUGGAUCUUUAUUGUUGUAUAGUAUUUAAACUUAAUGCAACUUUAAUUGGGAUCGUCAAUUUUUCAAUUUUUUGUAAUGGAUUUUCUCACUAAUUUCAAAUGUUUGAAUGCUGUAUAGAUGUAAUCCUAUGCAUGACCUGCAUAUUAGUUACUAAUUUUUUUAAAAAUUAAUAAUAACAGCUAAACAAACAUUUGUUAUACUAUCAUUUGACUAGUUAGAAUUAUGAUAUCCAAUAUAAAAUUAUUGUAUGGUGAGGUAUGAACCUAAAUUUUAGGUAACCAAUGAUAGAAAAAGUAGCAUUAAUCCACACAUAGUUCACUCACUGUUUAAUCUACUGUGUUAAAAUUAGUAUUUUCCUUUUCUCUAACAAAAAGGUAAGCCAGUGAAUGUCUUUCUAUAAUGCUAGUUUUCUUGGGUAUUUCUUUUGAUCUUUCUGAUCUAACUUUGUUUUAUAAAUACCAUGUUGCCCAACCCCGGCCCCAAAAUCACAUUCUCUCUCUCAAUUUUUUUAGCUAAUUUAAAAAGAGAGGCAGAUGAUUAUUUAUAGUAACAGUCAUUUUUAAUAGCCAUCUACAUUAUUAGAUCUUUUGCCAUUUAGCUAUUCUCAAAGGAAUGUAAAUAAAUAAAAUGAAAUGGGAAAACAUUAAAUUAAGACUUGAGUAACUAUUACUGUAAAAUAACUAAAAGGAAAGAAAAAAAAUGCUGAAAGCAUGUUCUGCCAUGCAUAACCUUUUGUUUGUUUCAUCAUUAUGAUGUAUUUUUGUGUGGAGCUUUCAAAUUUCUCUAUAAGAAAUGGAAAUGAUACCAAAAAAAUAUGAAAUGUGAAAUUAAGAGUUAUUAGCAUUCUCAAAUA
RNAcentral lists this unclassified non-coding RNA (910 nucleotides) under Hevea brasiliensis (rubber tree). Lineage: Eukaryota; Viridiplantae; Streptophyta; Magnoliopsida; Malpighiales; Euphorbiaceae. The record is from RNAcentral.